RNAcentral lists this transfer RNA (73 nucleotides) under Thermomicrobiales bacterium. RNAcentral describes it as "tRNA-His". It matches the Rfam family "tRNA". Rfam says of the family: Transfer RNA (tRNA) molecules are approximately 80 nucleotides in length. RNAcentral also lists the same sequence under 1 other name. The record is from RNAcentral. Lineage: Bacteria; Pseudomonadati; Thermomicrobiota; Thermomicrobia; Thermomicrobiales.
GUGCCUAUAGCUCAAUCGGCAGAGCGCUUGACUGUGGAUCAUGAGGUUACGGGUUCGAGCCCCGUUAGGCACC